GACGAACGCUGGCGGCGUGCUUAACACAUGCAAGUCGAACGAAGUGGCGAACGGGUGAGUAACGCGUAAUCAACCUGCCCUUCAGAGGGGGACACCAGUUGGAAACGACUGCUAAUACCGCAUACUGAAGGAGGGGUUUGCGUUUGAUUAGCUAGUUUGAGGGGUAACGGCCCACCAGGGCGAUGAUCAGUAGCCGGUCUGAGAGGGUGAACGGCAACAUGGUGACUGAGAAACGGCACAGACUCCGACGGGAGGCAGCAGUGGGGAAUCUUCCGCAAUGGACGAAAGUCUGACGGAUCAACGCCGGGUGAGAGAUGACGGCCUUCGGGUUGUAAAGCUCUGUUAAUCGGGACGCGGUACCGGAAUAGAAAGCCACGGCUAACUACGUGCCAGCAGCCGCGGUAAUAC
Molecule: ribosomal RNA, 408 nt
Filed under: uncultured bacterium
Lineage: Bacteria
Description: partial 16S ribosomal RNA
Rfam family: Bacterial small subunit ribosomal RNA
Source: RNAcentral